CAGUAGCCGCGGGAAUACAGAGGGUGCAAGCGUUAAUCGGAAUUACUGGGCGUAAAGCGCGCGUAGGUGGUUUGUUAAGUUGGAUGUGAAAGCCCCGGGCUCAACCUGGGAACUGCAUCCAAAACUGGCAAGCUAGAGUACGGUAGAGGGUGGUGGAAUUUACUGUGUAGCGGUGAAAUGCGUAGAUAUAGGAAGGAACACCAGUGGCGAAGGCGACCACCUGGACUGAUACUGACACUGAGGUGCGAAAGCGUGGGGAGCAAACAGGAUUAGAUACCGAGUAGUCCCUGUCUCUUAUACA
RNAcentral lists this ribosomal RNA (301 nucleotides) under uncultured bacterium. RNAcentral describes it as "partial 16S ribosomal RNA". It matches the Rfam family "Bacterial small subunit ribosomal RNA", at positions 509 to 808 of the family's 1533-position model. The record is from RNAcentral.